This 29-nucleotide small RNA is filed under the name Bombyx mori (domestic silkworm). RNAcentral describes it as "ovarian small RNA-15135". The record is from RNAcentral. Lineage: Eukaryota; Metazoa; Arthropoda; Insecta; Lepidoptera; Bombycidae.
GAACCCCGCGAGCAAGGCCCCGAAGGGAC